ACCACGACUCUCGACAAUGGAUA
This 23-nucleotide ribosomal RNA is filed under the name Gnetum montanum. RNAcentral's name for it is "partial 5.8S ribosomal RNA". Lineage: Eukaryota; Viridiplantae; Streptophyta; Gnetopsida; Gnetales; Gnetaceae. The record is from RNAcentral.